CUGGGGCUGGAGAAGGUCCCAAGGGUUCGGCUGUUCGCCGAUUAAAGUGGCACGUGAGCUGGGUUCAGAACGUCGUGAGACAGUUCGGUCCCUAUCUGUGAUGGGCGUAGGAAAUUUGAGAGGACCUGACUUUAGUACGAGAGGACCGAGUCGGAUAAACCGCUAGUGUACCUGUUGUGGCGCCAGCUGCAUCGCAGGGUAGCUAUGUUUGUUCGAGAUAAGCGCUGAAAGCAUCUAAGCGCGAAGCUCUCCUCAAGAUGAGAUUUCCUUAUCAGGGCCGUUAUAGACUAUGACGUUGAUAGGUUGCAAGUGUAAAGGUAGCAAUACCAAAGCUGAGCAAUACUAAUUGCCCGAAUGCUUUUUCUG
RNAcentral lists this ribosomal RNA (366 nucleotides) under Bacteroidota bacterium. RNAcentral's name for it is "Bacteroidetes bacterium (sediment metagenome) partial 23S ribosomal RNA". It matches the Rfam family "Bacterial large subunit ribosomal RNA", at positions 2547 to 2925 of the family's 2925-position model. The record is from RNAcentral. Lineage: Bacteria; Pseudomonadati; Bacteroidota.